CCUACGGGUGGCAGCAGUGGGGAAUAUUGGGCAAUGGGCGCAAGCCUGACCCAGCCACGCCGCGUGAAGGAAGAAGGCUUUCGGGUUGUAAACUUCUUUUCACAGGGACGUAGAGUGUGACGGUACCUGAGGAAUAAGCUACGGCUAACUACGUGCCAGCAGCAGCGGUAAGUCGUAGGUGGCAAGCGUUCGACGGAUUUAUUGGGUUUAGAGGGCGUGUCGGCGGGAUCUUAAGUCAGAUGUGAAGACUGACGGAUCAACCCUAAGCCUGCAUUUGAAAGUGUGUUUCUUGAGUGCUGGAGAGGCAAGCGGAAUUCCGGGUGUAGCGGUGAAAUGCGUAGAUAUACGGAAGAACACCAGUGGCGAAGGCGGAUUGCUGGACAGUAACUGACGCUGAGGCGCGAAAGCGUGGGGAGCAAACAGGAUGAGAUACCCCAGUAGUC
This 443-nucleotide ribosomal RNA is filed under the name uncultured bacterium. Its description in RNAcentral is "partial 16S ribosomal RNA". It matches the Rfam family "Bacterial small subunit ribosomal RNA", at positions 338 to 795 of the family's 1533-position model. The record is from RNAcentral.